CACGUUUUGUUUACGCUCGAUAUCGAAUUGGUUCAUCUCCGCGUCGCGCGUAAUUAAGAGUGAUCGAAAUGCAAAUCGUACGAGUCGACCCGCACGCUUCGACGUGAUGUAACACGUGUAUGCUUAAUUAGAUCCUCGUUUACACACGAUACGGCAUUACACGGCGAUAGCAUUCGACGAUGUAUCGAUUGUCGCCGGUGCGUAUUGCAUUUCCUUCCCCGACGUGGAAUCGGAAAAGGCUGUCGAAGGACGCGCCGCGGUGGUGCGCGGGGAUGAAUACGUAAUCUCGCGUCGCGAGAUCGAUGUAACACGAUUAUGAGGCUUCCCAGAAAGAAUAUCGCGACGAUGAAACCGCGGAACCACACUGGGAUCUAUCCCCAUGCUUGUUUCGUCAAAUAACGUGAUCGUAAACCGGUACAAUCAUGUUAUUUCCGACGCGAGAUCGCGUCUCGCGCUUCCGCCCCCGGAGCGAGAUGCGAAAAUAAUCCCACUGACGUAAUUUCAACGUUUCUCGAUAAGAUGACAAAACAAUCGUCGAUAAACUAGCCGCCGACGCCGACAUCUCGAGUUUGGAUUUUUCAAGAACGGGGCUGUGGUUUUUAGCGGUCCUCGAUUCCAUUCAUCGAUUGGGUUUUCUCUUGCCCGUUCUCGAGUAUUUGGCACGCGGUUCCAUCUGAACGAUGCAGCGACCAGGGCGAUCGAUAAACCCGUAAACAACGAUGCUUUCCUCCUCUGCAGUGGUUCAUUCUUUGUUAAACGAAAACGGAUCGACAGAAUUCGUGGUUCACGUGGGAUUUUUCGAGGUCAGUGACUCCUGUGAACUAUGGUUCAACCGCGUCCGCGUCUUCGUCGUCAGCUUCGUGAUGACGCCUUUUUCUUCUUCCUCCUCCUCCUUCUUCUCCUUCUCCCUCCUGUACUUCACUUGGCAUACGCACAUCGAAAACCGAUCAUGCUCGCGAGGCGCCUAGCAUUUUUUUGUAGGCGCCUCGCUCGCGCCGAUAACAUGGUAGACGAUAACGUCCGGGCCAAUCCGAACCAAUAAAUGCUGGGACUUUGCACUCAUUCGACGCACACUGUUCGUUACUAUCGUUCCCUUACGGCCACGCGCGAUUCACGAAUUCUCCUCCACGGUCGUCGUUGCAUCAUCGUCGGGAAGUCGCGGCGAGUUUCCGGCGUGCCGUUUGAAAGGGGAGAAAAAGCGCGAAUUAGAGAUCGUGCGGUAUCGCCGUUGAACGGGUCACGAUUACAAAUUGGGGCACGACAAACAUACAGAUAUGUCACCGCGAUAGCGUAGAACGCGAAAGACGUUCUCCUCCGAAUCUGUUCGAUCUAUUUCGUUGCCAACGCGAGAUCUCGAUAUGGUCUCAUCCCAAAUAAAAUAAAUAUCGCUGUGUGAGAAUCGAUUGCGCAGUGGCUAGAUCCGUGGUGCAGUGUU
Long non-coding RNA from Pogonomyrmex barbatus (red harvester ant), 1435 nucleotides. The record is from RefSeq and is a predicted model, not a curated record. Lineage: Eukaryota; Metazoa; Arthropoda; Insecta; Hymenoptera; Formicidae.